This 123-nucleotide microRNA precursor is filed under the name Olea europaea subsp. europaea. The record is from RNAcentral. Lineage: Eukaryota; Viridiplantae; Streptophyta; Magnoliopsida; Lamiales; Oleaceae.
UAGUCACUAUGAUAUUGGCUCGGCUCACUCAGAAGUCAAAUGUAACCUAAACCUUAUGUCUAAAGAUGUAAGAUUUAUGAUUAGUGAGUUUGAUUGAGCCGCACCAAUAUCUUAGUGUGCUUU